Molecule: long non-coding RNA, 402 nt
Organism: Eriocheir sinensis (Chinese mitten crab)
Lineage: Eukaryota; Metazoa; Arthropoda; Malacostraca; Decapoda; Varunidae
Exons: 3
Source: RefSeq, a predicted model, not a curated record
GGCGCACAUCACCGACCCCAAGGACAUGCCUGCCUGGGCCGACAAAGCGUUCUGCGAGGAGUGCCAGAAGUGGUUCAGGGACAGGAAAUCGUUUCAGAAGCACAACACUCUGGGACCGUGGGCGCGUCACCAGAGGCAGCCACUCACCCCAGAGGACAAGGAGCCAUGGGGUGCGGCACAAUUGGCAAGCCGUGAACUGACAGACACUGGACAGCACCCUGGCAGAACGUGUACAGAACAGGAGUCUGGAGGCAGUGCAGGCUGCAGGCCGGGCGGAGGCUGAGCUGCGGCCCCACGAUGGACGAGGUGUUUGCGGCCACCAAGACAAAGUGUUCGCUGAGCCCCGCCCGCAGCACACACCCGCCUGCACAUCCAGCUGCCGCCCCCUCAGGACACGCCCCC